This is a long non-coding RNA of Oncorhynchus tshawytscha (Chinook salmon), 1038 nucleotides long. Lineage: Eukaryota; Metazoa; Chordata; Actinopteri; Salmoniformes; Salmonidae. The record is from Ensembl.
CCGAAGGAAGUUAUGAAAGGGAGAAUAUGGACGAUGAUUUCAGGACUUGCUGCUAUCGAAUACAGAUCGCCCCGUGAUCAAUUUGAUCGAUUAUUAACGUUCAUUAAUACCUAAAGUUGGUUUACAAAGGUAGUUUGAAGUGUUGUGUCAAAGUUUAUAGGCAACUUUUUUAAUUUAAAAAAAUACCGUUGCGUUUUAGAAAGGUGCUUUUUCCUGGAUCAGACGGGCUUCAUAAAUGGACAUUUUGGGUAUACAUGGACGGAUUUAAUCGAAAAAAGGACCCAAUUGUGAUGUUUAUGGGACAUAUAGGAGUGCCAACAAAGAAGCUCGUCAAAGCUGCAGCCGGCUGUCACCUCACCCUACAACAGCCACUCUGCCCUGCCCUAUUCGGCUUGUCAUCUCUCCCGUCGCCUUCUUCAUCGCUCCCGAGAGAACCCGUGGAGAUGUCCAAGCUCCAGAAUUUCAGUGACAGGGCCUUCUCCAGGGUUGCUCCUAGACUCUGGAACUCCCUCCCUCCAGCCAUCCGCGACUCUGAGUCCAUCAUCAUGUUUCAGUCCCGCCUAAAAACCCACCUCUUCACCAUGGCCUACCCUUACCUCCCCCUCCACCAUUCCCACACACACCUCUUCUGUUUCACACACUCGCACACACACUCACACAUACACGCAACACCUGCUCGCUCACUCACCUGCUAUCUCACUCACAUACUCACACAUCACACCCUUUCCUUGAGCCCUUCUUACCUCCAUUUAGCCCCGUUUACCUGGUUCUAACAUGCAUUAUAUGUCCUGAUCUUGUCCACAGUCUGAUUGUUCCUACAUUUUCAGACAAGUGUAGACGAUUAAAAGGAGCAUUGUGAUCAGAUCUUCCUGACCACGUCUGGAGUUGACAGUGAAACCAUUUCAAUCAUCCUGCCUUAUAAAAUCAUUGACAGGUGACACCAUUGACUUAUGGAAUAGAUAUGUGUCUUAAAAUAAAUAAAGUCAAGUAUUAUUUUUAAAGAAUAUCUGUCAAAUAAUUAGCAUACAAGGCGGGACC